This is a long non-coding RNA of Salvelinus namaycush (lake trout), 1569 nucleotides long. RefSeq lists it as uncharacterized. The transcript has 3 exons. Lineage: Eukaryota; Metazoa; Chordata; Actinopteri; Salmoniformes; Salmonidae. The record is from RefSeq and is a predicted model, not a curated record.
CUUAGACCGCUGCGCCACUCGGGAGCCCCAUGCUCUUAAAGAGAGAACAUUAGAGGAGAGUAACUAAGUAUUCAAUCAUUUGUGUGUCUGUCAGCUGAGAGGUCCACGCUGCCUCUCCAGAGGUGUUUAUUUUAACCCUGCUUCCCACUAUACCCUCCCAGUUUUACCCAUGGCCCGGAAGACCAUUCCAAGUAGCCCUCUCAGUAACCCCUCAGCUCCCAUUCCUAGCACCAUAGAGACAACCUAGAGAUCCCCCCCUGAUCCCCAGGACCCUUUUUCCAUGAGUAGUUAGAAUGUCAAAGACGUGUGUGUGAAACCAAUAUACACCCUGAUGAAUGGACAGUCACUUGUAUACACAAUGCACAUCCAAACCUAGAACAGAAGAAGCAGCCUGAUAGUGUGACAGAGCGUAGUCCUGAGUUGCUUGACUCUGUAGUCUUAUCUUCACUCUGCCUAAUACAUCAUUUUGAGCAACGCAAGACAGGAGAUGGAGGUUCUGCAGAAACGAACUUGUGUUAUGGACAGCAGCUACACAUUGGCUGUGUGUGUGCCAUUGCCUAUUACAUGAUUUCUCAGCCAAACUGAGCAUCUGAUCGUGUCCUUUCUCCCCACCAGGUUUCAGCUAAAUUACACUUCUCCAUUGAGUCCCAUUCCAGAGAGCUGGCGCUGGCCAGAUGGGUUAAAUGACUCUGCCAACUCACUAAAGCAGUCUCAUUCUGCUGUGACACACAUUUUUUCUCAUUAUUUUAGACUCAAUCUGCCAGUGUAAGGUGUGGUAUAGGAAUGGGGUGUACCAUCUUAAAGCUGCGCUGUGUAAUUAUGUGUACAGGUGUUUUUGGAGACCUAGAUUUGAACACAAUUUCCAAGAAACCUCCUCUCUCUCUCAUAGGUAGUCUGCAGGGAAUCAUAUGGUACAUCAGCAUCCUCUCUGAACGCAGUUUAGGCUGCUGAAAAUUCGACACUGCAAGUGGAUGCGAUAACCACUACGGUCAAGAUUGAAAAGAUGAAUCGAUUCUAUUUGAUGUCUUCAGAACAGGAUUCCAGUGUUGAAGAGCCUUAGUUCCCAUCUGCUGUGGGUAGAGGAGCUAGAGGAAGGGGGAGAAGAGCAAGAUGUAGAGCUGCAGAAAGAAUCAGGAAGACCGUGAGGGCUGACUGACAGGAGAGGGUGACCCAGAUAAAGGCUAGGUUGAGAAAGCUGUCCUUUGAGGAAAGGGGAAAGGUGCUGGAGCAGUUCGCUACCUGUUCACUUGGCAUGAUGUUUGACAUAAUGGAUUUGCAGAUGGCUAUCCCAGGAUCUCCAGACAUCCCAGACUGAGGACAACCUCGCUGGUGCACCUACCUGAAAUUGACGGGAGAUGCCCGUUGACCUGGGACCGGUUGCACCAGUUGGUCAUAAGUGGUUCAUAACUCUACGUCCAACGUAAAAUUCAUACUAAACUGGACUUAAAAAUUAUACGCGUUGCCCCACUUGGGUGUAAGCCCUUCUAAACUCAGCAAAAAAAGAAACGUCCCUUUUUCAGGAUGCAGUCUUUCAAAGAUCAUUUGUGAAAAUUCAAAUAACUUCACAGA